This 652-nucleotide ribosomal RNA is filed under the name uncultured bacterium. RNAcentral describes it as "bacterial SSU rRNA". The stretch from base 1 to 521 matches the Rfam family "Bacterial small subunit ribosomal RNA", at positions 338 to 873 of the family's 1533-position model. The record is from RNAcentral.
CCUACGGGAGGCAGCAGUAGGGAAUCUUGCGCAAUGGGCGAAAGCCUGACGCAGCCAUGCCGCGUGAAUGAUGAAGGUCUUAGGAUUGUAAAAUUCUUUCACCGGGGACGAUAAUGACGGUACCCGGAGAAGAAGCCCCGGCUAACUUCGUGCCAGCAGCCGCGGUAAUACGAAGGGGGCUAGCGUUGCUCGGAAUUACUGGGCGUAAAGGGAGCGUAGGCGGAUAGUUUAGUCAGAGGUGAAAGCCCAGGGCUCAACCUUGGAACUGCCUUUGAUACUGGCUAUCUUGAGUACGGGAGAGGUGAGUGGAACUCCGAGUGUAGAGGUGAAAUUCGUAGAUAUUCGGAAGAACACCAGUGGCGAAGGCGACUCACUGGCCCGUUACUGACGCUGAGGCUCGAAAGCGUGGGGAGCAAACAGGAUUAGAUACCCUGGUAGUCCACGCUGUAAACGAUGAGUGNUAGUUGUCGGUCGAUGCAUGCAUGUCGGUGGACGCAGCUAACGACAUUAAGUACACCUCCGCCGUCGGGGUAGGGUACGGGUCCGGCCGAACGAAGUUAAAACCGUUAACCUAAACUUAAGUUAAAGUUAGUUACGGGUUCGUUGGAGGACGUUGCCGAACGGGACGACCGACCGAGGGGGAAGGUUAGGG